UUUUGUGUACAUCAUCAUAUUUUAAAAAAUACAUGUCAUAGUGCUUAGUCAUAAUUUUUUUUAAUCAGAAUUAACUUGUCGGAGUAAUGACGGAUAAAAUUGUCGGUAACACUUUAUAAUACAGCCCGCGUUUUACGGUGUAACUUCCCAUCACUUACCAUGUAACUUACCGGAAUUUACGGACAGAUGGCUGUACCUGGGGCAGUUAGCCUGCAAGAGCCAGUUGCUCACUCUCUGCAUUCACUAGCUUCAAAUCACCUGCUUCUGUCAUAUUCUCCUGUUAGCCUUGAAACCAUGGAUCAUGUGGACAGAACAACGAUGGCUCUGACAAGCAUCAUUGCCGAGGUGGAUAUAGCUUCAGGAGGGGAAAACUUUGGUGUCUCUAGCCACACUGAAGGGACAACCCUAAAAGAUUUCGCAUUGCAAUUUAAAGGAUUUGUGGAUUCCUGCCCUGCAUAAAAUCAUUCAUGCACUAUGCUGAAGAACAAAAUAAAAAAGACUGCGAAGAACUGAUGAACUCCUCCCACUAAAGUGGCGAUGUAGAAAGAAUAAAGUACCUGAAAAUUGUU
Long non-coding RNA from Thunnus maccoyii (southern bluefin tuna), 569 nucleotides. RefSeq lists it as uncharacterized. NCBI's taxonomy places the organism in Eukaryota, Metazoa, Chordata, Actinopteri, Scombriformes, Scombridae. The record is from RefSeq and is a predicted model, not a curated record. The transcript has 3 exons.